RNAcentral lists this ribosomal RNA (545 nucleotides) under Klebsiella quasipneumoniae subsp. similipneumoniae. RNAcentral's name for it is "partial 23S ribosomal RNA". It matches the Rfam family "Bacterial large subunit ribosomal RNA", at positions 1 to 585 of the family's 2925-position model. RNAcentral also lists the same sequence under 2 other names. Lineage: Bacteria; Pseudomonadati; Pseudomonadota; Gammaproteobacteria; Enterobacterales; Enterobacteriaceae. The record is from RNAcentral.
GGUUAAGCGACUAAGCGUACACGGUGGAUGCCCUGGCAGUCAGAGGCGAUGAAGGACGUGCUAAUCUGCGAAAAGCGUCGGUAAGGUGAUAUGAACCGUUAUAACCGGCGAUGUCCGAAUGGGGAAACCCAGUGUGAUUCGUCACACUAUCGUUAACUGAAUACAUAGGUUAACGAGGCGAACCGGGGGAACUGAAACAUCUAAGUACCCCGAGGAAAAGAAAUCAACCGAGAUUCCCCCAGUAGCGGCGAGCGAACGGGGAGCAGCCCAGAGUCUGAAUCAGCUUGUGUGUUAGUGGAACGGUCUGGAAAGUCCGACGGUACAGGGUGAUAGUCCCGUACACCAAAAUGCACAGGCUGUGAACUCGAAGAGUAGGGCGGGACACGUGGUAUCCUGUCUGAAUAUGGGGGGACCAUCCUCCAAGGCUAAAUACUCCUGACUGACCGAUAGUGAACCAGUACCGUGAGGGAAAGGCGAAAAGAACCCCGGCGAGGGGAGUGAAAAAGAACCUGAAACCGUGUACGUACAAGCAGUGGGAGCACCUU